RNAcentral lists this microRNA precursor (67 nucleotides) under Bombyx mori (domestic silkworm). RNAcentral's name for it is "mir-2774 microRNA precursor family". It matches the Rfam family "mir-2774 microRNA precursor family". The record is from Rfam by way of RNAcentral. Lineage: Eukaryota; Metazoa; Arthropoda; Insecta; Lepidoptera; Bombycidae.
ACAACAUUCAGACCGUCGGUCUACCGAGCAAUAUCAACCGCUCGGUGGAAGAUCUUCCCUUUGUCGU